RNAcentral lists this ribosomal RNA (450 nucleotides) under uncultured bacterium. RNAcentral describes it as "partial 16S ribosomal RNA". It matches the Rfam family "Bacterial small subunit ribosomal RNA", at positions 354 to 796 of the family's 1533-position model. The record is from RNAcentral.
GUGGGGAAUUUUGGACAAUGGGCGCAAGCCUGAUCCAGCAAUGCCGCGUGCAGGAAGAAGGCCUUCGGGUUGUAAACUGCUUUUGUACGGAACGAAACGGUCCGGGUUAAUACCCUGGGCUAAUGACGGUACCGUAAGAAUAAGCACCGGCUAACUACGUGCCAGCAGCCGCGGUAAUACGUAGGGUGCAAGCGUUAAUCGGAAUUACUGGGCGUAAAGCGUGCGCAGGGGGUUUUGUAAGACAGGCGUGAAAUCCCCGGUCUCAACCUGGGAAUUGCGCUUGUGACUGCAAGGCUGGAGUGCGGCAGAGGGGGAUGGAAUUCCGCGUGUAGCAGUGAAAUGCGUAGAUAUGCGGAGGAACACCGAUGGCGAAGGCAAUCCCCUGGGCCUGCACUGACGCUCAUGCACGAAAGCGUGGGGAGCAAACAGGAUUAGAAACCCGGGUAGUCC